CUUCUUUCCCCUCACUCUCUCUCUCUUUCUUUUUCUCUCUUUUUUUUUGGAGUCUUGCUCUGUUGCCCAGGCUGGAGGGCACAAUCAUGGCUCACUGCAGCCUCGACCUCCUGGGCUACAGUGAUCCUCCUACCUCAGUAUCCCGAGUAGCUGGGACCACAGGGGCGCACCACCACUGCCUGGCUAAUUUUUGUAUUUUUAGUAGAGACUGGGUUUUGCCAUGUUGCCCAUGCUGGCCUCAAACACCUGAGCUCAAGUGAUUCACCCACCUUGGCCUCCCAAAGUGUUAGGAUUACAGAAGUGAGCCACUGCGCUCAGUAGGAUCCUACUUCCGAAUGAGAGGAUAGGAUCACAUCGUGAGAGACACCUUAGAGAGGUCGUUCCGUCUUGGCCCUGCUGCUCACUUGCUUGAGGAAAUCCUUUUCCAACUCUGUGCUCUGUGCCUAAACCAGGAGCCUGAGAAAGGUAAUCCUUGAGGGUGUUUC
Molecule: long non-coding RNA, 485 nt
Filed under: Homo sapiens (human)
Lineage: Eukaryota; Metazoa; Chordata; Mammalia; Primates; Hominidae
Description: non-protein coding lnc-EIF4G3-1:1
Source: RNAcentral